GACGAACGCUGGCGGCGUGCUUAACACAUGCAAGUCGAGCGGUAAGGCCCUUUCGGGGUACGACGAGCGGCGAACGGGUGAGUAACACGUGGGUGACCUGCCCUUAGCUCUGGGAUAAGCCUGGGAAACGUGGGUCUAAUACCGGAUAUGACUCCAUGACGCAUGUUGUGGGGUGGAAAGCCUUGUGCGGCUAGGGAUGGGCCCGCGGCCUAUCAGCUUGUUGAUGGGGUGAUGGCCUACCAAGGCGACGACGGGUAGCCGGCCUGAGAGGGCGACCGGCCACACUGGGACUGAGACACGGCCCAGACUCCUACGGGAGGCAGCAGUGGGGAAUCUUGCGCAAUGGGCGAAAGCCUGACGCAGCGACGCCGCGUGGGGA
This 379-nucleotide ribosomal RNA is filed under the name uncultured bacterium. RNAcentral's name for it is "bacterial SSU rRNA". It matches the Rfam family "Bacterial small subunit ribosomal RNA", at positions 28 to 407 of the family's 1533-position model. The record is from RNAcentral.